This is a long non-coding RNA of Vidua chalybeata, 227 nucleotides long. RefSeq lists it as uncharacterized. The record is from RefSeq and is a predicted model, not a curated record. The transcript has 3 exons. Lineage: Eukaryota; Metazoa; Chordata; Aves; Passeriformes; Viduidae.
UAUUUUGGGUGUGCCCAGGUGUAUUUUGGGUGUGCCCAGGUGUGCCCAGGUGUAUUUUGGGUGUGCCCAGGUGUGCCCAGGUGUAUUUUGGGUGUGCCCAGGUGUAUUUUGGGUGUGCCCAGGUGUGCCCAGGUGUAUUUUGGGUGUGCCCAGGUGUAUCCCAGUUGUGCCCAGGUGUAUUUUGGGUGUGCCCAGGUGUGCCCAGGUGUAUCUCAGGUGUGCCCAGG